RNAcentral lists this transfer RNA (74 nucleotides) under Limosilactobacillus reuteri. RNAcentral describes it as "Lactobacillus reuteri tRNA-Asn". It matches the Rfam family "tRNA". From Rfam's summary of the family: Transfer RNA (tRNA) molecules are approximately 80 nucleotides in length. Their secondary structure includes four short double-helical elements and three loops (D, anti-codon, and T loops). Further hydrogen bonds mediate the characteristic L-shaped molecular structure. tRNAs have two regions of fundamental functional importance: the anti-codon, which is responsible for specific mRNA codon recognition, and the 3' end, to which the tRNAs corresponding amino acid is attached (by aminoacyl-tRNA synthetases). tRNAs cope with the degeneracy of the genetic code in two manners: having more than one tRNA (with a specific anti-codon) for a particular amino acid; and 'wobble' base-pairing, i.e. permitting non-standard base-pairing at the 3rd anti-codon position. The record is from RNAcentral. Lineage: Bacteria; Bacillati; Bacillota; Bacilli; Lactobacillales; Lactobacillaceae.
UGCAAAUUAGCUCAGUUGGUUAGAGCAGAGGUCUGUUAAACCUUGUGUCAUCGGUUCGAAUCCGAUAUUUGCAG